This 200-nucleotide ribosomal RNA is filed under the name uncultured bacterium. Its description in RNAcentral is "partial 16S ribosomal RNA". It matches the Rfam family "Bacterial small subunit ribosomal RNA", at positions 328 to 539 of the family's 1533-position model. The record is from RNAcentral.
ACGCUCGACACCUACGGGAGGCAGCAGUGGGGAAUAUUGGGCAAUGGGCGCAAGCCUGACCCAGCAACGCCGCGUGAAGGAAGAAGGCCCUCGGGUUGUAAACUUCUUUUGACAGGGACGAAACAAAUGACGGUACCUGUCGAAUAAGCCACGGCUAACUACGUGCCACAGCCGCGGUAAUCUGAGCGGGCUGGCAAGGC